RNAcentral lists this ribosomal RNA (473 nucleotides) under uncultured bacterium. Its description in RNAcentral is "partial 16S ribosomal RNA". It matches the Rfam family "Bacterial small subunit ribosomal RNA", at positions 28 to 508 of the family's 1533-position model. The record is from RNAcentral.
GACGAACGCUGGCGGCGUGCUUAACACAUGCAAGUCGAACGCUGAAGCUUGGUGCUUGCACUGGGUGGAUGAGUGGCGAACGGGUGAGUAAUACGUGAGUAACCUGCCCUUGACUCUGGGAUAAGCCUGGGAAACUGGGUCUAAUACUGGAUACGACAUGUCACCGCAUGGUGGUGUGUGGAAAGGGUUUUACUGGUUUUGGAUGGGCUCACGGCCUAUCAGCUUGUUGGUGGGGUAAUGGCUCACCAAGGCGACGACGGGUAGCCGGCCUGAGAGGGUGACCGGCCACACUGGGACUGAGACACGGCCCAGACUCCUACGGGAGGCAGCAGUGGGGAAUAUUGCACAAUGGGCGGAAGCCUGAUGCAGCGACGCCGCGUGAGGGAGGACGGCCUUCGGGUUGUAAACCUCUUUCAGCACGGAAGAAGCGAAAGUGACGGUACGUGCAGAAGAAGCGCCGGCUAACUACGUGC